Molecule: ribosomal RNA, 641 nt
Filed under: bacterium Ca.J2
Lineage: Bacteria
Description: bacterial SSU rRNA
Rfam family: Bacterial small subunit ribosomal RNA
Source: RNAcentral
UAUCAUGCAAGUCGAGCGGAGUUAAUAAGAAGCUUGCUUCUUUGAGACUUAGCGGCGGACGGGUGAGUAACACGUAGGCAACCUGCCCUUUAGCCUGGGAUAACUACCGGAAACGGUAGCUAAUACCGGAUACUUUCUUUUUCUGCAUGGNAGAAGAACGAAAGACGGAGCAAUCUGUCACUGAAGGAUGGGCCUGCGGCGCAUUAGCUAGUUGGUGGGGUAACGGCUCACCAAGGCGACGAUGCGUAGCCGACCUGAGAGGGUGAUCGGCCACACUGGGACUGAGACACGGCCCAGACUCCUACGGGAGGCAGCAGUAGGGAAUCUUCCGCAAUGGGCGAAAGCCUGACGGAGCAACGCCGCGUGAGUGAUGAAGGUUUUCGGAUCGUAAAGCUCUGUUGCCAGGGAAGAACGUCUUGGAGAGUAACUGCUCUGAGAGUGACGGUACCUGAGAAGAAAGCCCCGGCUAACUACGUGCCAGCAGCCGCGGUAAUACGUAGGGGGCAAGCGUUGUCCGGAAUUAUUGGGCGUAAAGCGCGCGCAGGCGGCCGUUUAAGUCCGGUGUUUAAUCCCGAAGCUCAACUUCGGGUCGCACUGGAAACUGGAGGGCUUGAGUGCAGAAGAGGAGAGUGGAAUUCCAC